Molecule: ribosomal RNA, 461 nt
Filed under: Alternaria porri
Lineage: Eukaryota; Fungi; Ascomycota; Dothideomycetes; Pleosporales; Pleosporaceae
Description: eukaryotic LSU rRNA
Rfam family: 5.8S ribosomal RNA (bases 98-251)
Source: RNAcentral
CGUACAUCUGCGGAUCCGUGUGGGGAUCGCCCAACACAUAGUACAAACAUAAACCUUUUGUAAUUGCAAUCAGCGUCAGUAACAAAUUAAUAAUUACAACUUUCAACAACGGAUCUCUUGGUUCUGGCAUCGAUGAAGAACGCAGCGAAAUGCGAUAAGUAGUGUGAAUUGCAGAAUUCAGUGAAUCAUCGAAUCUUUGAACGCACAUUGCGCCCUUUGGUAUUCCAAAGGGCAUGCCUGUUCGAGCGUCAUUUGUACCCUCAAGCUUUGCUUGGUGUUGGGCGUCUUGUCUCUAGCUUUGCUGGAGACUCGCCUUAAAGUAAUUGGCAGCCGGCCUACUGGUUUCGGAGCGCAGCACAAGUCGCACUCUCUAUCAGCAAAGGUCUAGCAUCCAUUAAGCCUUUUUUUCAACUUUUGACCUCGGAUCAGGUAGGGAUACCCGCUGAACUUAAGCAUAUCAA